CUGACAAUAACAGUAUUGUGUUACGCUUUUUAUAUUUCGCACGUGUUAACACAAAGCAUAUACAUAUUUAUAUAUAUACAUAUUCGUGCUUAAGUGUGCGUGCACAUAUUUACGUAACAAUAAACUAGUAAUAUAUACUGAAUGGUUAUUUUAUAUAAACAUAAAAUGAAACACAAAGCAUGUUAAUUAGGAGCGUGUUAAAACUAGCAGGAUAUCCUAAGGCUUCUUUUCAUGAACAAAACAUAAACCCCUUUUCUAAUGUCCAAUGGAAAAGCAACCCGUUUUUAAAAAAAAACAUGCCUAGAACAGACUUAUUAAGUGAAGAACAUAUUUCUAAAAAUGCAAUAAGUGUAUUUGAUAAAGAGAAAGGAAACUGGUUUGUUAUUGAUGCAACUAACAAAAGUGUAGGUAGCUUAAGUGUAUGUAUAAGUAAACUUUUACAAGGUAAGUAUAGAGUUGAUUAUAAUCCUAACAGAGUCAAUAGCAGUAGUGUGAUUGUUGUUAACGCCAUACAUGUUAAGUUUUAUGGUCACACAUGGGAUACAAAAGUUUAUAAGUUUUUUAGAAAAAGUCACUCUAAAGGUAAUAAAAUAUUAACGUGUAAAACAGUUUUUGCAAGAAACCCAUCCAUGAUUAUUAACUUAGCAGUAAAAAGAAUGUUACCUAACAAUAGGUUAAGACAGAUAUAUUACCGUAAACUUUUUGUUUAUCCUGGGGCUUUACAUCCUCAUUGGGGUAUCCCGCAAGUAGUUGUUCCAAAAAAGAAAGUUACAGAUACCAUAGACCAAACCAAUAUAAAAGCAUUUUCAGUUGUUUAA
This 818-nucleotide long non-coding RNA is filed under the name Piliocolobus tephrosceles (Ugandan red Colobus). RNAcentral describes it as "lncRNA (ENSPTEG00000017514.1)". The record is from RNAcentral. Lineage: Eukaryota; Metazoa; Chordata; Mammalia; Primates; Cercopithecidae.